Molecule: ribosomal RNA, 885 nt
Filed under: Arenibacter arenosicollis
Lineage: Bacteria; Pseudomonadati; Bacteroidota; Flavobacteriia; Flavobacteriales; Flavobacteriaceae
Description: bacterial SSU rRNA
Rfam family: Bacterial small subunit ribosomal RNA
Source: RNAcentral
GUCUUGAGUUAUAGUGAAGUAACUAGAAUAUGUAGUGUAGCGGUGAAAUGCAUAGAUAUUACAUAGAAUACCGAUUGCGAAGGCAGGUUACUAACUAUAUACUGACGCUGAUGGACGAAAGCGUGGGGAGCGAACAGGAUUAGAUACCCUGGUAGUCCACGCCGUAAACGAUGGAUACUAGCUGUCCGGAUGCAAAUCUGGGCGGCCAAGCGAAAGUGAUAAGUAUCCCACCUGGGGAGUACGUCCGCAAGGAUGAAACUCAAAGGAAUUGACGGGGGCCCGCACAAGCGGUGGAGCAUGUGGUUUAAUUCGAUGAUACGCGAGGAACCUUACCAGGGCUUAAAUGUGGUCUGACAGCUUUAGAGAUAGAGUUUCCUUCGGGCAGAUCACAAGGUGCUGCAUGGUUGUCGUCAGCUCGUGCCGUGAGGUGUCAGGUUAAGUCCUAUAACGAGCGCAACCCCUGCCGUUAGUUGCCAGCAUGUAAUGAUGGGGACUCUAACGGGACUGCCGGUGCAAACCGCGAGGAAGGUGGGGAUGACGUCAAAUCAUCACGGCCCUUACGUCCUGGGCCACACACGUGCUACAAUGGCCGGUACAGAGAGCAGCCACUGGGCAACCAGGAGCGAAUCUACAAAACCGGUCACAGUUCGGAUCGGGGUCUGCAACUCGACCCCGUGAAGCUGGAAUCGCUAGUAAUCGGAUAUCAGCCAUGAUCCGGUGAAUACGUUCCCGGGCCUUGUACACACCGCCCGUCAAGCCAUGGAAGCCGGGAGUGCCUGAAGUCCGUCACCGCAAGGAGCGGCCUAGGGCAAGAUCGGUAACUAGGGCUAAGUCGUAACAAGGUAGCCGUACCGGAAGGUGCGGCUGGAACACCUCCUUUCUAGA